GUGCUCGCUUCGGCUGCACAUAUACUGAACUUGGAAUGACACAGAGAAAACUAGCUGGCCCCUGUGCAAAGAUGACAUGCAAAUUUGUGAAGCAUUCCAUAUUUUU
Molecule: small nuclear RNA, 106 nt
Organism: Jaculus jaculus (lesser Egyptian jerboa)
Lineage: Eukaryota; Metazoa; Chordata; Mammalia; Rodentia; Dipodidae
Source: Ensembl